This is a long non-coding RNA of Nycticebus coucang (slow loris), 324 nucleotides long. RefSeq lists it as uncharacterized. The transcript has 3 exons. The record is from RefSeq and is a predicted model, not a curated record. NCBI's taxonomy places the organism in Eukaryota, Metazoa, Chordata, Mammalia, Primates, Lorisidae.
ACGUUUCUCUCUAGAGCUGGGCGCUGAGCUGGGGGCUCCUCUUCAGCGGUUCCAUCUCCUGGAGAUUCCAAGUGUCUCUGUAGCAGCCUCUGUCACCCUGUGACCUGCAGAUACUGGGAGAUCUGUAGGGAGGACACCGGGACAUCCUUGAAGCUGGGAAAAUAGUCUUGGUAUCUCUAAGCCAUCACUCAUCACCUCUCUGGAGAAAAGCAAAGAACCCUGGAAAGCAAAGACACAACAGACAGUCAAGCACCCAGUGUAAAAGCAACAAGUUUCUCCCAGGGCUAUGCCCAGGCCUCCUUGCUUCAAGUAUAGAAAAUUCAG